This 72-nucleotide transfer RNA is filed under the name Bos taurus (domestic cattle). It matches the Rfam family "tRNA". Rfam says of the family: Transfer RNA (tRNA) molecules are approximately 80 nucleotides in length. Lineage: Eukaryota; Metazoa; Chordata; Mammalia; Artiodactyla; Bovidae. RNAcentral also lists the same sequence under 5 other names. The record is from Rfam by way of RNAcentral.
UCCCUGAUGGCUCAGAUGGUAAAGCGUCUGCCUUCAGUGCUGGAGACCAAGGUUCAAUCCCUGGGUGGGGAA